GACGAACGCUGGCGGCGUGCUUAACACAUGCAAGUCGAACGGAAAGGCCCUGCUUUUGUGGGGUGCUCGAGUGGCGAACGGGUGAGUAACACGUGAGUAACCUGCCCUUGACUUUGGUAUAACUUCAGGAAACUGGGGCUAAUACCGGAUAGGAGCUCCUGCUGCAUGGUGGGGGUUGGAAAGUUUCGGCGGUUGGGGAUGGACUCGCGGCUUAUCAGCUUGUUGGUGGGGUAGUGGCUUACCAAGGCUUUGACGGGUAGCCGGCCUGAGAGGGUGACCGGCCACAUUGGGACUGAGGUACGGCCCAGACUCCUACGGGAGGCAGCAGUGGGGAAUAUUGCACAAUGGGCGGAAGCCUGAUGCAGCAACGCCGCGUGCGGGAUGACGGCCUUCGGGUUGUAAACCGCUUCCGCCUGUGACGAAGCGUGAGUGACGGUAAUGGGUAAAGAAGCACCGGCUAACUACGUG
RNAcentral lists this ribosomal RNA (468 nucleotides) under uncultured bacterium. RNAcentral's name for it is "partial 16S ribosomal RNA". It matches the Rfam family "Bacterial small subunit ribosomal RNA", at positions 28 to 507 of the family's 1533-position model. The record is from RNAcentral.